UCCGAGACAUGUUGUUGUACCCGACCAUAUUUUGGAUAUUAGAGAGUAUUGCUCCAGUUGCCCUGUUCGGGUAGGAGACUGGAUUUUGCCCGUGAAUUUGCUAGCUCUGCGCAAGCUGGAGGAUUUCGAUGUGGUUUUGGGCAUGGAUUGGCUAACUAAGUAUUAUGCCACAAUCGAUUGUAAGAAUCGCAUGGUUACUUUUAGAGAACCGGGGCAGACUGAGGUGAUAUUUAGAGAAUACUGGAGUUCGCUUUUUGCGAUGACGAUCAGCUCGUCUUGAGCUAGGCAGCUGAUCGGCAGAGGCUGCAUAGCCUACUUGGCUAGUGUUGUUGCGAGG
This 337-nucleotide long non-coding RNA is filed under the name Ananas comosus (pineapple). RNAcentral's name for it is "long non-coding RNA (ACOM_LNC019880)". The record is from RNAcentral. Lineage: Eukaryota; Viridiplantae; Streptophyta; Magnoliopsida; Poales; Bromeliaceae.